AUGCAGGAGCACCUCAACAUCUACGAUAUGGAAGAUGUAGCCAACGAAGACGCACUGGCUCCUGCGUACGAAGCUAUCGUCCUCACAGCCCAGGCCGAGGAGACCCUGUACGCAGCGCAGCAGCAGCUCGACCAGGCGGUGCUAGCCACGUCUCUGUCCACGGUGCAGGCAGAGGUGGUCAGGCGUCGGGCUAUUGAAGAAGAGGCCGCAGCUCGAGAGCAGAGGAGGGCGGCGACUCUGCGUGCAGCGGUCGCCAUCGAGGCAGAAGGCGAGGGACCGGACAUCAUCGUCCUAUCCUCCUCCGACGAUGAAGACCGCAACAAUGACGAUGACGGCACCAUCGUUCUUCCAAAUGAUGAAGACAAGUAG
Molecule: ribosomal RNA, 369 nt
Filed under: Triticum aestivum (bread wheat)
Lineage: Eukaryota; Viridiplantae; Streptophyta; Magnoliopsida; Poales; Poaceae
Description: partial small subunit ribosomal RNA
Source: RNAcentral